Molecule: long non-coding RNA, 3294 nt
Organism: Hemiscyllium ocellatum (epaulette shark)
Lineage: Eukaryota; Metazoa; Chordata; Chondrichthyes; Orectolobiformes; Hemiscylliidae
Exons: 4
Source: RefSeq, a predicted model, not a curated record
GGGAGGAGAAGUCGCUCGAGCGGGGAAGCGGCGGCCGUUAGGAAAAUGGCGCCGUGCGGCCCGGGGCAGACCCCCGUCACUGGUCACCGCCGCCUUCCUGGCGCAGCUGCUGUGUCACGGUCACACCGGCCGGCUGUACAGCAGGCAGGAGCCGGUGACCAUUCUGGAGGCGGAUGGGGUUAAGGGCCUGCUUGGGAACUGGUCGGCCGCCUGGGUGGUGGAGUUCUACUGGUCGUGGGGUGGCCCCUGUGUCAACUAUGGGGCCACCUGGAAGGUACUGGGCCCGGGAGGUGAAAGGAUCUGAAGAUGGAAGUUUCAAAAUCAACAGAUGAAGGCCUAAUGCCCAAAACGUUGACUCUCCUGCUCCUCGGAUGCUGCCUGACCUGCUGUGCUUUUCCAGCGCCGCACUUUCUGACUCUGACUCUCCAGCGUCUGCAGUCCUUACUUUGACGUCCAUGUCUGACAGUCAUUCAAUCCAAUCCAUCGGGACCGCAACAGUUUGCAACUAUGAUUCCGUGAGGAGCAAAGCUGUUUGGUUCCUGUUUGGGUAUGUUUUCAGCAUCAGUGGGACUGGAUGAGAGACCCUACCAUUGCAGUGCACUGAGUGAGGAGCGUGUAACAGCUAUACGGUUUGGAAAGAGGAAUUCACGGUGGAGAGAAGCUCCACAUGCGUUUGUGCGGCUGAAGCUUCGGCCAUGGAGAAACCCGAGGAAUCCCGCCCCGUAGAGAAACCACGGAAGUGUGGUGACUGUUCGAAAGGCUUGUUUCCCGUCUGCCCUGGAGACUCAUUGGCGCAGUCACACUGGGGAGAGGCCGUUCCCCUGCCCUGACUGCAGGAAGGACUUCAGCGAUUCCUCCAACCUCCAGACCCACCAGUGGAUCCACAUGGGGGAGAGGCCCUUAAGCUGCCCCGAGUGCGGGAAGGCCGUUACCCAGGCUGCCUCCUUGCUGACCAACCAGCGGGAUCACGUGGCAUUGCAGGAGGAUUGAAAGAAAGACGGCCGAGUGCCUUUACCAACUGGACUAUCAACCCAGUUCCAGUGGCUCCCGAGUUCGAUUCCCACAACAGAUGGCGGAAUUGGAAUUUGGUCAGAAAUCUGGAGUUCAGAAUCUAACGGUGAAACUAUUGUCGGUGGGGUGGGGGUGGAAAAAAAACCCCCUUCUGAUUCACUCAGUUCUUUUUUAGGGAAGACUUGAGCAGUUAUUAGAGCAGUCGUCCCAGCUGCAUCCUUUACCCGCUCUGGCCUACACGUGACUCCAGACCCACAAUAGUCUGGUUGACUCUAUGCUGCUCAUCCAACUUACUUGGAUACAGGUUGAAAUUGCUGAGUGAGGCAGUACUUCCUCCAGGUUAAGGCUACACCAAGGAUCCAAUUACAAAGGGACAACUCGGUGGUGACCAAUAAUGAAGAAAGUGAGGAGUUGCACUUUGACCUUGAGCUGUUUUUAAAAAAUUGCUACUUUUUCUACACCUUUCUGCUGGGAGAUUCUGAAGCUGUAACAAAGUUGGGUCACAAUAAAGAUUACCUGAACUUCACACUGAGCUCAAACUCUCAAUGAGAGCUUUAAACUGCAACAGGUUUUUGGUUUAAAACUGCUGAUUUCUUACAGGAGAAAGUUAGAACUGCAGAUGCUGGAGAUCAGGGUCAAGAUUAGAGUGGUGCUGGCAAAGUACUGCAGGUCAGGCAGCGUCCGAGGAGCAGGAAAAUCGACAUUUCGGGUUUGCUCCAGACUCCACCCUCCUUACUGUGUCAACCAUCUAUGCGAUCCAUGUCUGCGGGCAGGACACGACUGUCUCCAGGAGAGAGUCUCUCUGGUCACCCCGUCCAUACUCCUUGGAAUGAUUCGGCUCCCUACUCAGUCCACAUCCACUACAUGACCGAAGCAAUGAUACUUGAACUAAGAGGAGGGACAUGUGGGGGAUCGCCUAUCACUUCAUCUUUCUGAUCAUGUACAACAUCCUGAUGGGGAAAGCCACUAAGUAUGGAUGCGACCAGGAAUGAUCAGAGAUUAUCCACCACCCAUGCUGAGGAGAUGUCGUCCAGUGCACCGGAACAGACGCCUUUGACGUGUGGGACGUGAUGAAGAUUGAUUAUUGCAAUGGACUCUUACAUCAGAAAGACCAGAUGGUCCAUCUGGACAGUAGAAAUCAGUGGCAGUUACCAUGUUGUUACCAUUUUUUAAAAUUUUACCUGCAGACACAAGCCUAGUGAGGAUAAAAAUGAUCAACCCCGUUAUUAUGGUAAAUAUUUUAAGGGCGCCCAGGAAUACCAUCCCUUUUUGCAGGACGGGCCGACUCGAGAAAAGAGAAGCCUGAUAGGGGAAACUCCACAAUCCACAAACAACUGAUUUAUACAGGCCCACAGAACGCUCUUCACCCCAGAGGCAGUAGUAUGUUACUCCUCUCUAUCGGGAGAUGACUUACUUGCCCUGUCCCCAGUCCCCGAUUCCAUUCUAUUCGUCAGACUUGCUACUGCCGACCCUGUGAAGAGAAAUAUCACUUUCCAAUAGCUCCGGUCUGUGUAUACAAACAGCUGGUGUAACACUAGCUGGGGUACAGCAGGCCUUAUGUGGCACAUGGAUCUGGAACAGACUGGGUGACAAUACAGGACACCCAAUAGGAUGCAGAAUCCAGAAUACCUUGAGGUUGGAAGGUUCGGCAGGGGUGACAAGUCAAAAGAACCGCAAUUCCCUCUUUUGUGGCCUGACCAUUCGAGAAAAUAAGACUAAAGAGGCUCUGGAACAGAGUAAAGUGGGAUUAUCAGACCUGUGUCUUUACUCUAUGCAGAAUCGGUAUGCCUUAGACUAUAUACUCGCCCGGGAGGGUGAGGUCUGCACCAUUGUCCAAGAUAAAUGCACUAUGGGCAUUCCUGAUCUCACUGGCAAUAUUACUAAGAUACAAGAAGAGAUCUAGGUAUUCCUUGACAGAAUGACUGAAGAGACCAGUUGGGGAAACUGCAGAUUGGGCUCAUGGUACAAUUGGCUUAUCAAUUUAGCCAUGUAUGGUAGAAUACUUUUCCUCUGUUUGUCAGUAUUGCUCUUGUUAGGUGUUUAAUUGUUAAACUUAUGAGGUCCCUUAGUGAUAUAGAUUUGUCCCAGAAGAUGCUCCUUUUGCGUUCCGAUGGCUCACCCACACAUGUCGAUGGUGAUGAUAAAUAUGACCAGAUGAGCUGCGAAGAUGGUGGUGCCGCUCUACAGGAUGUUGAUGGCUGGACCACCUUGAAGGGCAUUCAUUUGGACUAGCCUUCUCUUUCAGUGAUCGCGGUGCAAUCAAAUGCAGGAAUGAGGGUGUGG